Molecule: long non-coding RNA, 665 nt
Filed under: Citrus x clementina
Lineage: Eukaryota; Viridiplantae; Streptophyta; Magnoliopsida; Sapindales; Rutaceae
Description: Citrus clementina (C. clementina) long non-coding RNA (CCLE_LNC001893)
Source: RNAcentral
UGUCUUAACUAUAUCUAAUUUUGUGUAUUUUUGUGUGUUUAUUAGUUAAAAUAUUAAUUUUACGUAAUUCGAGACUCCAAACAGAUAAACAUAUGUCAAUUUUGGAUUCUAGAGGUUCAAGAAUCUUAAGAUGAGUCAAGACCGACUUAAAAUUAAGGUUGUACAAAAAGUUGACUUUUUCUGUUGACCGAGUACUGAUUGGAUGAUAAAAUGAGCUUACAAUAGAUAUGAGUGCAUUGGAUAGCUAGCAAUUUUGACUAAAUCUGAACCAUUCAUGAUUCAAUGGCCACGAUUGUGCAUGUGGCAAUGGUUGGUGAUGCAAGUUGUAGGAUCCGAACUUUGUAUUCGGGUCAACCCGAUCCAAACGUUAACUCGCUAAAUCUUAACCGUUCUUUGAUCAAAUCGGAUGCUUCACAUGAUGUCACGAGUAAUGUCAACUUUUGAAGUUUGACCAGCCGUUGGAUCUUGAUUUAAUGGUUGUGAGGAGCGCAUGCAUAAAGCUUAUGGUGGACCUCAAAACACUAGAUUAUGAAUGUAUUUUUCUAUAAAUAGAGCCUCAUUUUUAUGUUUUGAGCAUCUCUCUUCUUCUCAAUUUCUCUCAAAUUCCCUUUAAUCUUAUUUUUAGGUGUGUUUUAAUAUUUUGCAUAAUUAUUUUUGUAAAUAAA